GACGAACGCUGGCGGCGUGCUUAACACAUGCAAGUCGAACGGAAAGGCCCUGCUUUUGUGGGGUGCUCGAGUGGCGAACGGGUGAGUAACACGUGAGUAACCUUCCCUUGACUUUGGGAUAACUUCAGGAAACUGGGGCUAAUACCGGAUAGGAGCUCCUGCUGCAUGGUGGGGGUUGGAAAGUUUCGGCGGGUGGGGAUGGACUCGCGGCUUUUCAGCUUGUUGGUGGAGUAGUGGCUUACCAAGGAUGGGACGGGUAGCCGGCCUGAGAGGGUGACCGGCGACAUUGGUACUGAGGUACGGCCCAGACGCCUACGGGAGGCAGCAGUGGGGAAUAUUGCACAAUGGGGGGAAGCCUGAUGCAGCGACGCCGCGUGCGGGAUGACGGCCUGCGGGUUGUAAACCGCUUUCGCCUGUGACGCAGCGUGAGUGACGGUAAUGGGUAAAGAAGCACCGGCUAACUACGUG
This 468-nucleotide ribosomal RNA is filed under the name uncultured bacterium. Its description in RNAcentral is "partial 16S ribosomal RNA". It matches the Rfam family "Bacterial small subunit ribosomal RNA", at positions 28 to 507 of the family's 1533-position model. The record is from RNAcentral.